AACAGAAACACAAACGAGUAGGAACUACAUGGCGAAGCGAGGAAGGUGACAUGUGCUAGCCUAACAUCUCCAGAAAGAAGGAAGCAUAAAUUACAUUAUGAAAGAGAACGAAGAAAGGGAAGAUUUUAAUCGGAGAACAGACAGGUGGAAUUAUAAACGACAACUAAAUCGGAACUCAUGUGGAAAUAACACAGUUGAGUUUUUAUUGGAGAGGCAAGUGUGUAACGUACACGCGUACGUAGUGUAACGUUUGGUCUGUUGUCAUCUUUACUGAAAACUGUAAGCAUAUGAUGCGAUUGAAUCGAUGGUUAAGAUUUCUUUUGUGAUAUGUAGUGAUUGCAGAUUCACUAUUUAUAGUUCAUCAGCUUAAACCUGUUGAUAAAUCACACUUGUAUCAAUCCAGCGAAAUGGGUCCGAAGGGGAUAACGCUAAGAAAGCAUUUCGGUUCGUGGGCGACAACAUGCACAGGAUCAGGAUUUUUCGCAACGGAUAAUAUUGAAAUAAGAAAAUGUCCCAUCAAAUGUGAGCAGCUGAUUUGCUUAGACAAGCAGCUUAAACUGGUAGUGAGUAGAGUACUCAACUAAUCCACCAAUGAAUUCAGAUGAUUGUGAAAUGUCGGUCCAAGCUGUAGUAAGGAAUGUUCCAUAUGCCAGAUCUAGAUCAGGAAACAGCUACAUGGUACCCAGAGCUACAAAACAAUGAGGCCAGUCUGUUACAGUGUGUUGAUGAAACGUCCAAAAUGGUGUAUGAAGAGUGCAUGGACCAAAACAGCUAUUCCACUAUUACAGCUGAGGGACCUCAUUAAAAUUUGUUCAUAGUGAGGUGAUCUGUGGCUGAUUAUCUCCCUUACAUUGUUUGAUGGCGGGAUCCAUGGAGAUGUCCAGAAAAUGACCAACAUGCUGUUUGAAACUUUAAAAAAAAUUCUGCUGCUCAGACGUUUUUCUCGGUCAGGUAAUCUGCCCUGUUCAGUCGAUAGAGCUUUCCAUUACUCCUAGAAUUUUGCACAGCAGGUUCAUUUUCCCCAUCAUGCUCAGCAGGUUGGUCCCAUCUUCUUUAAGACCCCCCAAUCUGCUCAGAGGGUUCAGGAAAGUAACUUUCUUCUUGGUGGAUGAGGCUGGAAUAGGGAAGGGAGCUAAAUCUGUUGUCAGCAUGGUCCAUCACUAUUUUCAGCAUCAUGCAUGGACAUGGAGAAAGGAUUGCGAACAUCCAUUUUGAUAACUGGACAGAAGUUAUUAGUCUGCCUAUUGUCGUUCAAUACUACAUGAUGAUCGCUGGUCACACAAAGUUUGAUCCUGACUGGCAUUUUGGUGUGUGGAAAUUGCGCUGGAGAUCCAGUAAUGUUGAAACUCUAGAGGAGGUUGCCAAGACAGUUACACACUCAUCACGUAAUGGACAUAAUAUUCCCCAGUUGGUGAAAGAUGAAGACAAACCCAUUAUAUUUAGAGACUGGAAGUCAUAGGUAAAGCAGUACUUCAAGCCCCUGAAGAAUCUCACAAAAUAUCACCAUUUUCCUCUUGACGCUACUAAGCCUGGGACAGUGUUACUUGACGACUCUCCCACAGUGUCUGUCAACCUGCUGAAGAGAAAAGACUUCCUUCCGUCUGUAGAUGAUGAACCAGAAGACAUGAUGUCAGCAGGACUGGAUCCAUCAAGACAGUGGUAUUUGUAUGACAACAUCAGGGAAUAUUGUAAGACAGAAAGCUCACAGAACAUUACAUGUCCUAAACCCACUGUACAGAAAUCAGAAGUGGACCUAGUACAAGAAAAUGUCAAAGCACCAUGUCUUCCAUGUAAACGAAAAGGUUUACUGUUGAGAUGAUGUUGAUGAUUGCUCCCUUAGUAUAUACCUACAUGAUCUUGAUGCAAGCAGCCUGUAUAUGUAUGUCUAAAAGUUUGACAACCAAAGAAUGUUUUAUAUAGUUGUUAUUGAAUUGUUUCCCUUUAUGGUAUAAAAUGUAUUUAGAUGAAGGCUGCUUUUUUUAUGAGUGUAUGAAUUGAACUUUGAAAAUAAACUGUUUUUUGUUA
Pecten maximus is the source of this 2025-nucleotide long non-coding RNA. RefSeq lists it as uncharacterized. The record is from RefSeq and is a predicted model, not a curated record. Lineage: Eukaryota; Metazoa; Mollusca; Bivalvia; Pectinida; Pectinidae. The transcript has 7 exons.